GAGUGAGCAACCCUCAUCCCUCACAGUCCAGGCGGGUGGUGGGGCUGGCGAUGAGCCCUGCACUGUCGUCUGCAUUCCUGAGGGAGCUCCCGGGCUGGUUCCUGCUCUCUGGGGUCUUCCUGCCCGUGGCUUUGCUGCUGCUCCUCCUCAUUGCCUACUUCAGGAUCAAGCUGAUGGAGGUCAAAGAAGAACUGUCCCAGAUUCCUGAUCACCGACACAACAGCAAGGCUGGCUCUUCCCUGUACCAGCGUAAGAAACGAACGUGACCCUUGGGGACCCAUCAAUGGCUAGAGUGCACUGAACUUCUGCUCAGAGAGUAAUGGUCAACCGCUUAGCCUGCACUGGUUCGUAAACAAGAGCCACAGCAAGAUGCUUGUUCUGAACCAUAUCGAAAAGUGGCAACUAUUGUCCAAGACUUCUUUGAGACUCAACUCAAACAGCAGUUCUUCAGAGAGCCCCAAGAUUUUAAGAUUUUCUUGGAUGUGCUUUAUGGAUUGGACACAUUGUAACUUUCUAACUUUUAUAGACUAUGCCCACUCUGAAGGGCAUAUUUUAAAAAUAAAAUCCCUAAACAUCAACAUCACCUAAUCUUGUGGAAGCUCACAUUAUUUUAGAAGAAACUGGUAGAAAUCAAUCAGACUGCAAAAGGCGAAUGGCCCGAGCAUUUCCUGUGAGAGGAUUUGACACCUCCUCCUGCACUUCGACAGCUCUUGACACUUUCAUAAGCAUCAUCCUGGCCCUGCGUUUGCUUCUCUCCUUCUCCCAGUUGCUUUCGCAACCACGUUACCAAAUCACUGAACGAGUGCCGUCUCUGGACACUGGGUAUGGCACACCCACGCAUGAGGCUUUCAGCACGAUGUGACUUGGAAAUUCUGGCAAUUUGGUGUUGGCAAAAGGAGAGCAGAGUGUUCACCUAACUCAUGAGAGAUUAAUUCAAGACUUUGCCUUUAAAGCCAAAACAUCAGGGAGCCAAAACAUUCCUAAAUGAGGAAGGAAUUCAACAUUUCCCUGGAAGAAUUCUCUCAGUGAGAGCCCCAAACAGCCAAUGUAGAAAUCUUAAAUAUUUCAUUCAAAGUGUUAGUUAAAAUAGUGAUUACUAUUUUCCUAGUUAACAUGAACAAAAGAUGCUUAACAUGUCCUAAGUGUCAGUCUGUUUAUAUUCCAAUAUUUGUAUAUGAACCUAACAGUCUAUUAGAGUGAUGAACUUUAUGAAACAUAAUGAAUUUGUUCACCUGUAAGAAUGCACCAAUUUCCAUAGUGACAUACAAUCAUACAAAAGAUCAUAUGGAUAAUAGAGAAAGCAGGAAUCCACCACAAAGGCUGGAUAUUUUCUGCUUCUU
Molecule: RNA transcript, 1340 nt
Organism: Phyllostomus discolor (pale spear-nosed bat)
Lineage: Eukaryota; Metazoa; Chordata; Mammalia; Chiroptera; Phyllostomidae
Exons: 2
Source: RefSeq, a predicted model, not a curated record